This 339-nucleotide ribosomal RNA is filed under the name uncultured soil bacterium. RNAcentral describes it as "bacterial SSU rRNA". It matches the Rfam family "Bacterial small subunit ribosomal RNA", at positions 26 to 386 of the family's 1533-position model. The record is from RNAcentral.
AGAACGAACGCUGGCGGCAUGCCUAAUACAUGCAAGUCGAACGAAGGCUUCGGCCUUAGUGGCGCACGGGUGCGUAACGCGUGGGAAUCUGCCCUCGGUUCGGAAUAACAGUUGGAAACGACUGCUAAUACCGGAUAGAUGACGAAAGUCCAAAGAUUUAUCGCCAAGGGAUAGAGCCCGCGUAGGAUUAGCUAGUUGGUGAGGUAAAGGCUCACCAAGGCACGAUCCUUAGCUGGUCUGAGAGGAUGAUCAGCCACGACUGGGACUGGAGACACCGGCCAGACUCCUACGGGAGCAGCAGUACGGGAAUAGUUGGAACAAGUGGGACGAAAGCCUAGA